GACGAACGCUGGCGGCGUGCUUAACACAUGCAAGUCGAACGGAAAGGCCCUGCUUUUGUGGGGUGCUCGAGUGGCGAACGGGUGAGUAACACGUGAGUACCCUGCCCUUGCCUUUGGGAUAACUUCAGGAAACUGGGGCUAAUACCGGAUAGGAGCUCCUGCUGCAUGGUGGGGGUGGGAAAGUUUCGGCGGUUGGGGAUGGACUCGCGGCUUAUCAGCUUGUUGGUGGGGUAGUGGCUUACCAAGGCUUUGACGGGUAGCCGGCCUGAGAGGGUGACCGGCCACAUUGGGACUGAGAUACGGCCCAGACUCCUACGGGAGGCAGCAGUGGGGAAUAUUGCACAAUGGGCGGAAGCCUGAUGCAGCAACGCCGCGUGCGGGAUGACGGCCUUCGGGUUGUAAACCGCUUUCGCCUGUGACGAAGCGUGAGUGACGGUAAUGGGUAAAGAAGCACCGGCUAACUACGUG
This 468-nucleotide ribosomal RNA is filed under the name uncultured bacterium. Its description in RNAcentral is "partial 16S ribosomal RNA". It matches the Rfam family "Bacterial small subunit ribosomal RNA", at positions 28 to 507 of the family's 1533-position model. The record is from RNAcentral.